AAAAAAAGAAAGUUUAAAAAAAAGAAAGAAAAGUAAGAGAAGGGGCCGAGAAUAUAAAUUAGUUCACCCCUUUAAAUGCACAGAACAGGGGGUCAACGUGGUUCGUUUAAAAAUGCACAUCAGGAGUUCCCAUUGUAGCUCCGUGAGUUAAGGACCUGACAUAGUCUCCAUGAGGACGCGGGUUCUAUCCAUGGUCUUGAUCAGCAGGGGAAAGAUGUACCGUGGCCCCAAGCUGUGGACAUAGGUCACAGGUGUGGCUCGGAACCCGUGCAGCUGCGGCUGUGGUGUAGACUAGCAGAUGCAGCUCCACUUUGACCCCUAGCCUGGCAGCUUCCAUAUGCUGUGGGUGCAGCUGUAAAAAGGAAAAAAAAAGCACAUCAAUGAGUCGAAUGGUAUUACGCCCCAUGAAAUAAACCAAAGACAAAGACUCUGUGAUAUCCCACAUGGAAUCUAAACACUACAACGAACUGGUGAAUAUAAGAAAAAAAGCAGCAGGCUCACGGGAUCUAAAGAACAAACGAGUGGUUCCCAGCGGGGAGAGGGAAGGAGGAGUAGCAGGUGGGAGGGAGGAAGAGCAAAGAAUUCACCUAAGAAAUGUUUUUUCUUCUUUUUAAAGCCAUACCUGCGGCACUAUGGAAGCUCCCAGGCUAAGGGUCAAAUUGGAUUUGCAGCUGAAGCUACACCACAGCCACAGCCAUGCCAGAUCCGAGCCCCAUAUGCAACCUACACCACAGCUUUCAGCAACCCCAGAUUCUUAACCCACUGAGCAAGGCCAGGGAUCGAACCCACAUCCUCACAGACACAACACUGAGUCCUUAGCCUGCUGAGCCACAAAGGGAAUUCCAGAAUUUUUUUUUAAUGCACAUCAAUGUGAAAUAGUAGAUUUUAUUCUCCUGAUUAACAAAAAAACAGGAAAAAAAGAAAAAGGAAAAAAAAAUUAGCAAAUACAGCAGCUAAGAUCUGCAGAAAGGCAUUCCCUUAAACCAUCACAUGAGUAGAACAGGAGGGAUAUUCUCUGUGAAUUUCUCAAACUCUAUCAAAAUUUAAAAGAUGAAUACUCAGAGUUCCC
This 1069-nucleotide long non-coding RNA is filed under the name Sus scrofa (pig). RNAcentral describes it as "lncRNA (ENSSSCG00040030361.1)". The record is from RNAcentral. Lineage: Eukaryota; Metazoa; Chordata; Mammalia; Artiodactyla; Suidae.